GGCAGUUCUUGGGGGAUGCACCUCGGAAUUGGGCUCCCUCCUCUCUGGUUCCAGGAUCAUCACCCGAGAACUGCA
Non-coding RNA from Myotis davidii, 75 nucleotides. The record is from Rfam. NCBI's taxonomy places the organism in Eukaryota, Metazoa, Chordata, Mammalia, Chiroptera, Vespertilionidae.